Molecule: ribosomal RNA, 301 nt
Filed under: Escherichia coli
Lineage: Bacteria; Pseudomonadati; Pseudomonadota; Gammaproteobacteria; Enterobacterales; Enterobacteriaceae
Description: partial 23S ribosomal RNA
Rfam family: Bacterial large subunit ribosomal RNA
Source: RNAcentral
UCGCUGUGAAGAUGCAGUGUACCCGCGGCAAGACGGAAAGACCCCGUGAACCUUUACUAUAGCUUGACACUGAACAUUGAGCCUUGAUGUGUAGGAUAGGUGGGAGGCUUAGAAGUGUGGACGCCAGUCUGCAUGGAGCCGACCUUGAAAUACCACCCUUUAAUGUUUGAUGUUCUAACGUGGACCCGUGAUCCGGGUUGCGGACAGUGUCUGGUGGGUAGUUUGACUGGGGCGGUCUCCUCCUAAAGAGUAACGGAGGAGCACGAAGGUUGGCUAAUCCUGGUCGGACAUCAGGAGGUUA